UACGUAGGGGCCUAGCGUUGUCCGGAAUUAUUGGGCGUAAAGAGCUCGUAGGCGGUUCGGCAAGUCGGAUGUGAAAUCUCCACGCUUAACGUGGAGGGGCCAUUCGAAACUGCUGUGACUCGAGUCCGGUAGGGGAGUGUGGAAUUCCCGGUGUAGCGGUGAAAUGCGUAGAGAUCGGGAGGAACACCAGAGGCGAAGGCGGCGACCUGGACAGGCACUGACACUCAACUACGAAAGCGUGGGGAGCAAACAGG
This 254-nucleotide ribosomal RNA is filed under the name uncultured bacterium. RNAcentral's name for it is "partial 16S ribosomal RNA". It matches the Rfam family "Bacterial small subunit ribosomal RNA", at positions 524 to 776 of the family's 1533-position model. The record is from RNAcentral.